GACGAACGCUGGCGGCGUGCCUAAUACAUGCAAGUCGAACGCUGAAGGAGGAGCUUGCUUCUCCGGAUGAGUUGCGAACGGGUGAGUAACGCGUAGGUAACCUGCCUGGUAGCGGGGGAUAACUAUUGGAAACGAUAGCUAAUACCGCAUAACAGUAGAUAUUGCAUGAUAUCUGCUUGAAAGGUGCAAUUGCAUCACUACCAGAUGGACCUGCGUUGUAUUAGCUAGUUGGUGGGGUAACGGCUCACCAAGGCGACGAUACAUAGCCGACCUGAGAGGGUGAUCGGCCACACUGGGACUGAGACACGGCCCAGACUCCUACGGGAGGCAGCAGUAGGGAAUCUUCGGCAAUGGACGGAAGUCUGACCGAGCAACGCCGCGUGAGUGAAGAAGGUUUUCGGAUCGUAAAGCUCUGUUGUAAGAGAAGAACGAGUGUGAGAGUGGAAAGUUCACACUGUGACGGUAUCUUACCAGAAAGGGACGGCUAACUACGUG
Molecule: ribosomal RNA, 495 nt
Filed under: uncultured bacterium
Lineage: Bacteria
Description: partial 16S ribosomal RNA
Rfam family: Bacterial small subunit ribosomal RNA
Source: RNAcentral